GGACUACCGGGGUAUCUAAUCCUGUUUGCUCCCCAAGCUCUCGUGUCUGAGCGUCAGGUAUUGGCCAGAAAGCCGCCUUCGCCACUGGUAUUCUUCCCGAUCUCUACACAUUUCACUGCUCCACCGGGAGUUCUACUUUCCUCUCCAACCCUCAAGCCUCUCCGUUUCGGUUGCCCCCUCCCAGUUGAGCCGGGAGAUUUCACCGCCGACAAAAGAGGCCGCCUGCACACGCUUUACGCCCAGUAAUUCCGGACAACGCUCGUCUCCUACGUAUUACCGCGGCUGCUGGCAC
This 292-nucleotide ribosomal RNA is filed under the name uncultured bacterium. RNAcentral's name for it is "partial 16S ribosomal RNA". The record is from RNAcentral.